ACUUUGAAAAAAUUAGAGUGCUCAAAGCAGGCGCGACGCCUGAAUAAUGGUGCAUGGAAUAAUGGAAUAGGACCUCGGUUCUAUUUUGUUGGUUUUCGGAACACGAGGUAAUGAUUAAGAGGGACAGACGGGGGCAUUCGUAUUGCGACGCUAGAGGUGAAAUUCUUGGACCGCCGCACGACGAACUACUGCGAAAGCAUUUGCCAAGAAUGUUUCCAUUAAUCAAGAACGAAAGUUAGAGGUUCGAAGGCGAUCAGAUACCGCCCUAGUUCUAACCAUAAACGAUGCCAGCUAGCGAUCCGGCUGUGUUCCUCAAAUGACACGCCGGGCAGCUUCCGGGAAACCAAAGCUUUUGGGUUCCGGGGGGAGUAUGGUUGCAAAGCUUAAACUUAAAGGAAUUGACGGAAGCGCACACAAGGAUUGGGGCCUGCGGUUUAAUUUGACUCAACACGGUGCAACUCACUCGGCCCGGACACAGGAAGGAUUGACAGAUUAAGAGCUCUUUCUUGAUUCUGUGAUAGGUGGUGCAUGGCCGUUUCUGGUUGGUGGAGUGAUUUGUCUGCUUUAUUGCGAUAACGAGCGAGACUCUAACCUGCUAAAUAGACGUUACGAUUACAUUGAUGUCGUACGUUCUUCUUAGAGGGACAGGCGGUGUUCAGCCGCACGAAAAAGAGCAAAAACAGGUCAGGAUGCCCUCAGAUGUUCGGGGCCACACGCGCGCCACAUUGAAGGAAUCAGCGUGUGCUUUCCCUCUCCGACAGGAGUGGGUAACCCGUUGAACCUCCUUCGUGCUGGGGAUAGGAAAUUGGAAUUGUUUUCCUUGAACGAGGAAUUCCCAGUAAGCAUGAGUCAUCAGCUCGUGUUGAUUACGUCCCUGCGCUUUGUACACACCGCCCGUCGCUAUUAUCGAUGAAUUUUGGAGUAAGAUCUU
This 931-nucleotide ribosomal RNA is filed under the name Tylorida ventralis. RNAcentral's name for it is "SSU rRNA". It matches the Rfam family "Eukaryotic small subunit ribosomal RNA", at positions 754 to 1710 of the family's 1831-position model. The record is from RNAcentral. Lineage: Eukaryota; Metazoa; Arthropoda; Arachnida; Araneae; Tetragnathidae.